This 3230-nucleotide long non-coding RNA is filed under the name Salmo salar (Atlantic salmon). RNAcentral describes it as "lncRNA (ENSSSAG00000096177.1, ENSSSAG00075033214.1)". Lineage: Eukaryota; Metazoa; Chordata; Actinopteri; Salmoniformes; Salmonidae. The record is from RNAcentral.
AGAAGCUGUCUCUCCCAGACAGAGGGGGACCUUGAGUUACCGCAGACUGCCGAGUAAGCACCGAGCAGUCUGACUGUACACUACUGCAGAUGUAAUGGGGGGCCUGGCCCCGAGCCAACAGCUAGCUAGUUAGUUAAAGACGGUGGCAGUUGGGUCAACGCAGCCGUGUAUGGGGUUCUGUCCCCGCAAGGGUGCUUGCCGUUUUUACUAACUACACGUAUGCAACAUUGUGCCAGUAAAAUUGAAACUUCAUCAGCGCCAGCUAGCCGCCCCACCGCUAGCUGGCUAGCGAACUAAUGGAAAUGACUUUAGUAUAACGGGGCUUCAAUCUUCCCACACUUGCCCUGAUGCCAGACUGACUAUGCAGUAGAAAUGCGGCUCUUGCAGAUAAUCAAGACUAUAGGGGAACAGUAUUGCUAUUGGCAAUAUAAUCUGCAUUUUAAACAAUCCAUGGCAAGUAUUAUGAUCCAUGGUACUAGUUUAACCCUCAGACUGAAAUUAACAGGCUAUGAUGGCUCCCCUGAGAAAAGACUGCAGGUCACUCCCGGUUGGACCAAAGGGGAGCAUUAACAAAACAAGUCACCAGUCCUUCCCUUCGCUCCUUCCUGGGAGAAACAAAACACUGUCAUCAUAAAGAACAAAUGGGAGAAAAAAAAUCUAUUUUAAUUUCUGAUUUUUGUAAUCAUGAUGACUCUGAAGUUUCAUACCUUCUCUGUCUAUUUUUGUGAUUUAUUAACACAUUAGAUAGAUGUACAGUAGCUUGUUAGGGACUCUAAGCCUUGAUGAUAUGUUUGUUUUCAGGAAGGAGAGGAAAAGCCUAAUGACACAAAGCAAUGUAAUAGCACAGUCUCCAACAGCAGAGACCUAACCUGAUCCCAGGUCUGUUUGUGCUGUCUUCCAUGGCUUUGGUGACUGCACAAACGGAUCUGGGACCAGGCUAGCAGAGACCCACGUCUACGUUUACGAAUUCUACAGGUGGCCCCUUGUGGGCUGAGUACAGUAACUGACAGGCAGCAGCAUGUCAUCCACUCUGCCACAGAACAAAACACAGUUCAAACAGCAGCAUUAUCCUCCUAUUUAUGUUUUAACACUCACUCAGUUCUACCUGCACUGUUCACACGCUCAACUGCAGUAUGUGAUCGCUCCUUAACACAGUAUUAAGCUAGGCCUAGACCUGUAUCAUUAUCUCUACAAAACACUCUUCAAUGUCUUGGAAGGGAGUGGUUGCACCUCGAAGCGUAACCAUUCAAACGUUGGGUUCACGAUUUUACGUUUUAACAGUCCUAAUUGCUCUGCUCUUUAAGGUGAUUCACACCCUUCAGCUCUCAAAUUCUUCUCUCAUUCUCAAAACUCUUAAUAUUUACACACUCUACAGUAUUUACUGAGGCUAAGAGUCCCCCUUUUUCCAUGUUAGCUAGUAAAUGCUUGGUAGUGUGUUUUUGUAUUUUAAACGUUUAUGGUUUUAAGUAGAUUUGCUUUUUUAAAGUUUUAGAAUGUUUGUUGCUAGUAUAAAACCAUGUGUAGACAGUUAUGUAUGCUGUGAUGUAGCCUAUAGAAGUAGCUAUAGUAGAAAUGCAUUGUUCCCUUGUGGUAAGUGAGUGAGAUGCUGCCACGGAACUGAGACACUGAUGAUUGGUGCUAUUUUGGACUUUAAUCUGCUCCUUGGAAAGGUAGCUGAGAUGGGUUUUCUUGUUUUACUUUCACAUUCUGAGUAAAGAAGGUGUUGGUUCUUUGUUGUCAUGGUUGUUGUAACUUGGUCUGGAUUGGCUUAGUUUUUCUCUGUUUUCUGUGCGGCUUUCUCAUUGGAUUUAAGAUUUGAGGAAAUAUAAACUUUUAUCAUGGUCAAUGUUUUACUAAAGGAAAAGAGGAUUCAUGUGAGAAGAUUUGAGGAUAUACCAUGUUGAUGGGAGCAAUCACAAAACUGCAAUUGUUAAAAACACUAGUUACCCUUUAAUACUGACACGUGCAUUCAAAGGUAUACAAUGUAUCUAGUAGUACCCAGCACUGGUCACUUUUAGAAAAUGUUAAGCUUUUUUUAGUUGGUGUGUUUUGAUUGACAGACAAUCUCGAAACCAGGAGUGCAGUUCUGCCCCUAGCAUGUUUGUGUGUAACGGAGAUCUCUUAAGAGAUUUUGCACACUUACGAGUGAGUUAUGAAUUUGUCACAUGGAAACAUAUAGAAGUCGCCACAGCAUAACGCAAUGUUAAUGUCUGAUAUCUGCUUCAAGUUGAUUAGAAUAAGUAAACAGUAAAACGUAAAAUGAAGGUUAUUUUUUGAAAAGUCAUGCUUUUCAAAAAUGGCACUUGAGAGAACUUGAUAGAGUUAAAUGCUAAAAGGAAUGAACACACUCCAUGUGUUUUAAGGCCCAGCCUGUUUGGGUUUGGGUUCAGGGUUUCAACUUUUCCUCAUCUUCUUCACCAGCUGGAUAUGACUUAAUCCUAUAGAGAGUCAUGUGACUUAAUGUUAGUUAACGUGAGACUGGAAUCACAUGAUGCAUAUAAUCUUGUUUCAAAAAAAUUUAAAUACAUUUUUCCAAAUGUAGCAUAAAGUUAGAAUAGAACAAUCUUUUUAAUUUAUGUAUUUUUUUAAUGAUUUUGUAAAUUAAUGUUGAUGAGAAGCUUACUUUGUUAUAAAACAGACGAACUAAAACCAAAAAGCUUUUUAUUGUUUGUAGCUAUAGAUUUAAAAUAUCAAAGUAAUGUCAGUAUUUGCAGUUUUGUCUUUGCUUCCCUGUUAAUUUAUUUUGUUAAAGAUUCUAAUAUUAAUAUGAUAAUAACCAACUUGAAAGCCCAUGUUAUUAUUCUUUUGUCUUCCAUUCUCCCUCGAUUCUGGGGACCUUUUUGUACCAGCAUGUUCUAGUGUUAUUGAUCGCUUGUUCUCUUCCUCAUUGAGUUGAUUUGUUACACAUUUUUCCUCUUGCAGUUCUUUCCUUUCAGACUAGUUAAUAUGAAAGCUGUUUUGUACAUAGCAAAGUGAAUAGCAUAUACAGGAUGUGCUGUAGUGUGUUGAGUCAGGUAUUCAGUAAUUACCACUGUAUAUGGUUGGAAAAAAAACACGAUAUGCCAGCUUUGCAAAAUUAUUACAACGAUGCACUUAACUUACAGUAUCCCAUGUACUUUUUUUUGGCAAUUUUAAAAGUUGUGCAAUAAAUAUGCAAGCUUGUAAAUUUGUGUUUUUAUUUGAAUCUGUUGAUGUUGCUGGAGUUUUUCCAGUGUUGUAGGAAACUUGUG